This 301-nucleotide ribosomal RNA is filed under the name uncultured bacterium. RNAcentral's name for it is "partial 16S ribosomal RNA". It matches the Rfam family "Bacterial small subunit ribosomal RNA", at positions 509 to 807 of the family's 1533-position model. The record is from RNAcentral.
CAGCAGCCGCGGGAAUACGAAGGGGGCUAGCGUUGUUCGGAAUCACUGGGCGUAAAGCGCACGUAGGUGGUGGUUUAAGUCCGUUGUGAAAGCCCUGGGCUCAACCUGGGAAUUGCAGUGGAUACUGGGUCACUAGAGUGUGGUAGAGGAUAGUGGAAUUUCCGGUGUAGCAGUGAAAUGCGUAGAGAUCGGAAGGAACAUCUGUGGCGAAGGCGACUAUCUGGGCCAACACUGACACUGAGGCACGAAAGCGUGGGGAGCAAACAGGAUUAGAUACCCCGGUAGUCCCUGUCUCUUAUAC